CGGAGGAUCCAAGCGUUAUCCGGAAUCAUUGGGUUUAAAGGGUCCGUAGGCGGUUUUGUAAGUCAGUGGUGAAAUCCGGCAGCUCAACUGUCGAACUGCCAUUGAUACUGCAGGACUUGAAUUAUUGUGAAGUAACUAGAAUAUGUAGUGUAGCGGUGAAAUGCUUAGAUAUUACAUGGAAUACCCAUUGCGAAGGCAGGUUACUAACAGUGGAUUGACGCUGAUGGACGAAAGCGUGGGGAGCGAACAGGAUUAGAUACCCUGGUAGUCCACGCCGUAAACGAUGGAUACUAGCUGUUCGGCAGCAAUGCUGAGUGGCUAAGCGAAAGUGAUAAGUAUCCCACCCGGGGAGUACGAACGCAAGUUUG
Molecule: ribosomal RNA, 368 nt
Filed under: uncultured organism
Description: bacterial SSU rRNA
Rfam family: Bacterial small subunit ribosomal RNA
Source: RNAcentral